This 543-nucleotide ribosomal RNA is filed under the name uncultured Glomeromycotina. RNAcentral describes it as "SSU rRNA". It matches the Rfam family "Eukaryotic small subunit ribosomal RNA", at positions 552 to 1096 of the family's 1831-position model. The record is from RNAcentral. Lineage: Eukaryota; Fungi; Glomeromycota.
AGGGCAAGUCUGGUGCCAGCAGCCGCGGUAAUUCCAGCUCCAAUAGCGUAUAUUAAAGUUGUUGCAGUUAAAAAGCUCGUAGUUGAAUUUCGGGGUCAGCAGGUUGGUCGUGCCAAUGGUAUGCACUGGCCUUGCUAAUUCCUCCCUCUUGAUGAGCCGUAAUGCCAUUAAUUUGGUGUUGUGGGGAAUCAGGACUGUUACUUUGAAAAAAUUAGAGUGUUUAAAGCAGGCAAGCGCUUGAAUACAUUAGCAUGGAAUAAUGAAAUAGGACGUUCGAUCCUAUUUUGUUGGUUUCUAGGAUUGACGUAAUGAUUAAUAGGGAUAGUUGGGGGCAUUAGUAUUCAAUUGUCAGAGGUGAAAUUCUUGGAUUUAUUGAAGACUAACUACUGCGAAAGCAUUUGCCAAGGAUGUUUUCAUUAAUCAAGAACGAAAGUUAGGGGAUCGAAGACGAUCAGAUACCGUCGUAGUCUUAACCAUAAACUAUGCCGACUAGGGAUCGGAUGAUGUUAAUUUUUUAAUGACUCAUUCGGCGCCUUACGGGAA